ACUGCACAGUGUUUGAGUAUGGAGUUAAGGCUGCUGGCUGAUCGAUGAACUCACCAGUGUAGGUAGUAUGCUAUAUGAGGGGCAAGUUUUAGCUACUAACACCGCAAGGGUCUCUGGCUCAAUGAGUGGAGUUUGACAAUAAUUCUUGCUACAAGU
Molecule: small nucleolar RNA, 156 nt
Organism: Mustela putorius furo (domestic ferret)
Lineage: Eukaryota; Metazoa; Chordata; Mammalia; Carnivora; Mustelidae
Source: Ensembl